This 405-nucleotide unclassified non-coding RNA is filed under the name soil metagenome. RNAcentral describes it as "partial contains 5.8S ribosomal RNA, internal transcribed spacer 2, and large subunit ribosomal RNA". The stretch from base 1 to 122 matches the Rfam family "5.8S ribosomal RNA", at positions 35 to 154 of the family's 154-position model. The record is from RNAcentral.
GAUGAAGAACGCAGCAAAAUGCGAUACUUGGUGUGAAUUGCAGAAUCCCGUGAACCAUCGAGUUUUUGAACGCAAGUUGCGCCCGAAGCCUUUUGGCCGAGGGCACGUCUGCCUGGGCGUCACGCAUCGCGUCGCCCCCCCACAAUUCUCCGUAAAGGGAACUUGUGUUUUGGGGGCGGAUAUUGGUCUCCCGUGCUCAUGGCGUGGUUGGCCGAAAUAGGAGUCCUUUCGAUGGACGCACGAACUAGUGGUGGUCGUAAAACCCCUCGUCUUUUGUUUCGUGCUGUUGCUCGCAAGGUAAACUCUUUAAAAACCCCAAUGUGUCGUCUCUUGACGACGCUUCGACCGCGACCCUAGGUCAGGCGGGACUACCCGCUGAGUUUAAGCAUAUCAAUAAGCGGAGGA